Long non-coding RNA from Mya arenaria, 138 nucleotides. RefSeq lists it as uncharacterized. The transcript is spliced from 3 exons. Lineage: Eukaryota; Metazoa; Mollusca; Bivalvia; Myida; Myidae. The record is from RefSeq and is a predicted model, not a curated record.
UGUAGACGCUGUAAAUCGAAAUAUUGACAAUAUAAGAUUUCCAAGAACACAACAAGAAUUGGCAGAAGCAAAACUUGGCUUCUACAAAAGAUGCAAAAUUGCCAAUAUCGUAGGUGCAGUCGACGGAACACUCGUCCC